GUAUUGAUUGGUGCUUGCAUCAUGAUUUACAUUUGAGUGAGUGGCGAACUGGUGAGUAACACGUGGGAAACCUGCCCAGAAGCGGGGGAUAACACCUGGAAACAGAUGCUAAUACCGCAUAACAACUUGGACCGCAUGGUCCGAGUUUGAAAGAUGGCUUCGGCUAUCACUUUUGGAUGGUCCCGCGGCGUAUUAGCUAGAUGGUGGGGUAACGGCUCACCAUGGCAAUGAUACGUAGCCGACCUGAGAGGGUAAUCGGCCACAUUGGGACUGAGACACGGCCCAAACUCCUACGGGAGGCAGCAGUAGGGAAUCUUCCACAAUGGACGAAAGUCUGAUGGAGCAACGCCGCGUGAGUGAAGAAGGGUUUCGGCUCGUAAAACUCUGUUGUUAAAGAAGAACAUAUCUGAGAGUAACUGUUCAUGGGUUAUAAAUUUUGGGAGGUUCCCGCGGGGUAUUAAGUUAGAAGGUGGGGUAACGGCUCCCCCAUGGCAAUGAUAACGUAGCCGACCUGAGAAGGGUAAUCGGCCCACAUUGGGACUGAGACACGGCCCCAAACUCCUAAGGGGAGGCAGCAGUAGGGAAUCUUCCCACAAUGGACGAAAGUCUGAUGGAGCAACGCCGCGUGAGUGAAGAAGGGUUUCGGCUCGUAAAACUCUGUUGUUAAAGAAGAACAUAUCUGAGAGUAACUGUUCAGGUAUUGACGGUAUUUAACCAGAAAGCCACGGCUAACUACGUGCCAGCAGCCGCGGUAAUACGUAGGUGGCAAGCGUUGUCCGGAUUUAUUGGGCGUAAAGCGAGCGCAGGCGGUUUUUUAAGUCUGAUGUGAAAGCCUUCGGCUCAACCGAAGAAGUGCAUCGGAAACUGGGAAACUUGAGUGCAGAAGAGGACAGUGGAACUCCAUGUGUAGCGGUGAAAUGCGUAGAUAUAUGGAAGAACACCAGUGGCGAAGGCGGCUGUCUGGUCUGUAACUGACGCUGAGGCUCGAAAGUAUGGGUAGCAAACAGGAUUAGAUACCCUGGUAGUCCAUACCGUAAACGAUGAAUGCUAAGUGUUGGAGGGUUUCCGCCCUUCAGUGCUGCAGCUAACGCAUUAAGCAUUCCGCCUGGGGAGUACGGCCGCAAGGCUGAAACUCAAAGGAAUUGACGGGGGCCCGCACAAGCGGUGGAGCAUGUGGUUUAAUUCGAAGCUACGCGAAGAACCUUACCAGGUCUUGACAUACUAUGCAAAUCUAAGAGAUUAGACGUUCCCUUCGGGGACAUGGAUACAGGUGGUGCAUGGUUGUCGUCAGCUCGUGUCGUGAGAUGUUGGGUUAAGUCCCGCAACGAGCGCAACCCUUAUUAUCAGUUGCCAGCAUUAAGUUGGGCACUCUGGUGAGACUGCCGGUGACAAACCGGAGGAAGGUGGGGAUGACGUCAAAUCAUCAUGCCCCUUAUGACCUGGGCUACACACGUGCUACAAUGGAUGGUACAACGAGUUGCGAACUCGCGAGAGUAAGCUAAUCUCUUAAAGCCAUUCUCAGUUCGGAUUGUAGGCUGCAACUCGCCUACAUG
Molecule: ribosomal RNA, 1553 nt
Filed under: Lactiplantibacillus plantarum subsp. plantarum
Lineage: Bacteria; Bacillati; Bacillota; Bacilli; Lactobacillales; Lactobacillaceae
Description: bacterial SSU rRNA
Rfam family: Bacterial small subunit ribosomal RNA
Source: RNAcentral